This 72-nucleotide transfer RNA is filed under the name Loxodonta africana (African savanna elephant). It matches the Rfam family "tRNA". Rfam says of the family: Transfer RNA (tRNA) molecules are approximately 80 nucleotides in length. Their secondary structure includes four short double-helical elements and three loops (D, anti-codon, and T loops). Lineage: Eukaryota; Metazoa; Chordata; Mammalia; Proboscidea; Elephantidae. The record is from Rfam by way of RNAcentral.
GCACUGGCGGUUCAGUGGUAGAAUCCCCACCUUUCAUGCAGGAAGACCUGGGUUCGAUUCCCGGCCAAUGCA